CUGGGCUUUCAACGAUCAUUAAAAAUGACUGAGCCGAUUAUUAGCCCCUCCCUCGUGCUUUACUCUCGCGCUGCUCCGUGUGGCAAAUCGAGCGCACCUCUCUGCAUUUCGAACACGUGUCACAACAAUUAUAUAUAUAACCUUUCUGCUCAUUUAUUGUGAGAGUCACCUCUCACAAUAUAUAACUACUUAUUUAAUAUAAGCUUUCACAACAUGCCACUAAUAAAAGCCACUCGCCUGACAGGUUACCAGAAUUUUUUUUUUUUUUUUUUUUAAAUGUUGGAAGAAAACUUGUUUGUGCAAAAAGCCAUGUUUGCACAAACAACUAUCCUGUUUAUUUAUUGUACUUCUGGUCAAUGCUUCUAUUGCUGAUAAUUGGUUAGAAACUUGUUAUUUUAUUUAUUUAUUUUUUUAUCCUUUUUUUCAGGAUCAUUCCCAAUUGAACCCACUACAAACCUUAACGGAGGAAGAAGAUGCAGUCCUGUACAUUGAUGAAUGGACAACACCAGCAGAUUAGACAAGCCUCUCAGCCCUCGCAAGCUGCUCCUUAUCAUGCCCAUGAUGGAACAAGAAAUCUGCAAUCUUGGACUCCAAAACAAAGCAUUCACUAUCAAGCAAGAAACCUAGGAGUGCAAAAUGCACACGCUGAACAUUUCCCUUUGCACAAUGGAGCUUAUUCUAACAGACAAAUGUCAAAUUUGCAGACUUCUGCAGGAACUUAUCAGGAGGUUUCUUCUCAGCAGAAUGGUGGAGGCAAUAAAAACAGUUAUUUUUCUGGUAUGUUAUUUAACUAUAUUCAAAAUGUAUCAGCUAAUAAGCAAAGUGGAAACCCAUCUUUGCCAGCAUCUGGAUUUCAGAUUCCCACUCUGCAAGACUGUGAUCAGAAUUCAUCAACUCAGAGUCCACCUAACCAGAUGAACUCAAACACUACAUAUCCCCAGCAAGGCAUGUCCACUCAUUGGAAAGAGCCACUGGUUGUUAAUGAGAGACAAAUGAUUGGAACACAGGAUAGAACUGUGACUAAUAUCCAGCAUGUCAGUGUUCAGCAGGGCAUGCAACAGAAUGUGAAUGGAGACUUGACAAAACCCAUUUCAGCGUACACUACACCAACUACCUCAUUUCCACCUGAACGUGGUUUAUGUACCAGCACUAUGAUGUCUGGCUCAGAACAGACUGUGUACCUUGUUUCGAACAAUCAGGUUCAAAGACAAAGCGGCACUCAGCAUGGAUUCUCUCCUGUCAACUCACAGAGUUACAAUAUGGGAACCUCUCAGACUUCAGGAAACAGUAACAUUGCAACAUAUCCACCAUCAAGUGCACAGAAUUCUUACUUUUCCAGCACCAGCCACAAAACUCAGCAACACUCGGCUCAGCACCAAUUAAGAAACAACAAUGGGAUCAAGACUGCCACCUACAGUAACUCAAAUUUUUAUAAAAAGUAUGAAAAUAUUAAUUACUCUGCAGAAAUGAGAGGGCGUCAGAUAAAAACUUAUAAACAACAGAAAGUGAUCAGGCACUCAUUAAGUGCAGAUGGUUUAAAUAAUUCAUGCACUCCUGGGUUUGAUGGUUGUCGUCCUCCUCCACCGUACAGCUAUGCAAAUCACAGACAGCAGCAGUAUGUCAGAACGACCACAAUGGUCUCGUCUAAUCAAUCUAAUAUUCAACCUGGGACUUCGGCUACCCGUAAAAAUUAUAGUAACUUGAAUUCCAUCAAGUUAUUACCCGGGCAUUCUGGACAGUCUUUACCUCAAAGCACUCAAAAUGUAAUGUCAAGAACACAGCACGCUGUAAGUACACCCCAUCAGCAAACCUGUGUACCUAACGGUUUCCACAAAUCUGCUGCAGGAAAUGAAAGAAGCCCAAGUAACGAAAUUCAUCCUAAAAAGAACUGUAGCUUAAUUGAAUUGUUGCUUUGUUCAUCCCUGCUGCCGGAAUCUGUUGACCGCAAGACACAAUCAUCAGUAGCAAGCAGUUUUGAGAUGCUGUCAUCAGUCCAGUUAAAUGACAGCUCCAUUCACUCAUCACCUGGAAAUGCCAGCACCAAAGCUAUUGCUGUUGUACAACCACUGCCAUCACUGGAAGGUCAGCUUCACAAUGACCAUGCUUCUUCUGAUUCCACAGCAGGAGACUCUUUAAACAACCCUAAGGAAACUUUUGUUUUAGAUACCACAGCAAUUAACAAAACGCUGCCAUCUUCAGAGUCAGGGACACAAAACACAGGAAAACAACCUGAACUGGAUGUUAAUGUUCAAAAUUCAAUUCCAUCCCAAGAAUCAGUAUGCCAAAAUUCUCCUGAAGACCAAAGUGGGAUCCAGACACUUUCAACAUCACCCGUUUCUGAUCUUUCCGCACUCCCAACAUCCCCAUGGACAUUAUUGGCACUAACGAAGUUGAUAAAAGAUGCAGAAAAGAAUCAGAAAGAGCUCAGCGAUUUGAAAGAAUUACACACUGCACAAAAAAUUAUAGACCUGUUUUGGGAGGGAAAACUUGAAACACUGCAAAUGUACUCAUGCAAGGUAGGCUUUCUCAAGGUUUUAGAAGUUAAAGAAUUCUGCCAAAAACAUUUAACAGCCAACUCUGUUGUACUGUUGCAGGUAGAUGGCAAUUUUGAGGAGCAAAUGGAAAGCUACCAUGUCCUCAAAGACAAUGAAGUAUUUUCAGAAUUGCCUUACAAAUCAUCAUGGUUAAAUCUAAAUGAGCAGUUGGAUGAAAUAGACAAAGAAUUUGGUUUCCCAUUGUCUCUGAAACAUCACACUUCAUUGCUUGAGAGUGAUGGCCAGAAAGAUCAGAUGCACAUCAACAACAGUGAUCCUGCAAUUAUGAGUAAAGUGCCAAGCAAGAUCUUGCCAUCAACACAUUUUGAACCCGUUGAUUCAAAUGAAGGAAAAGAAGCCACCACACUCAAACCCCCCUCCAUUCAAACUCCCUCCUCUAAUCAGACAGAUGAUGCCAGUGACCCAUGUUUGUCCCUGAAAAUCCAAGUUAUGCCUCCAGAAGAAGCCAAACGUUACCAUGAGCAAAGCGAAAAUGAGAUGCCACAAAGUAUGGAUGCAGAGAGGGUCGUAAGUAGUUCCACGGAGAGUGAGACACCUGAUAAUACAGAGUCCACAUCGUGGGAAUCAAAAUUGGAAACUGUGGAAAUUGGCAUAAGUCAGUCGCUUUGCUGUCUUACAAAGCUGUUGAAAAUGACUAUAGGAUCAAGUACAUCUUAUGAUUGUAAAUGCCACAGCCAGAAAGAACAAAAGUUUGGAAAAGGGUUAAAAAAUACCAGUGAUAGUGGCGAAACAGUUGUACUAAAGCACAAUAACCAGCUUGGGAAGGAUCCAGUAAAGGACAAGGAGAACACUGAUGAUCAAGUUGUGACAUUUAGUGGUUCUGAGCUUUGCAGCUUUCUUGGUCAAACCAUAGAUUUGACUGAAGUUGAUGACCAACCUCAAUUGCCUUCUGAACAAAAUUCUAAGAACCACUCCAAAAUAGCCAAUACCAGUCAUUCAGGUAUUAUAAUUAUAAGUGAUGAAGAUGAAGAUCUCUCCAGUGGUGAAAAUGAAAUUCUUAGCCAGAAGACAGAUCUUGCCAUAAAGAUGUCUGAACCUUACGAUAAGUGUGGACAAGAACAACCAACGUCUACAGCAUCGAGUCUGUCAGGUGCCUCAGUCAGUACUAACAAAGCUGAAACUGAAAAGUUCUGCAGCACUGAGACUGAGAUUGCCAUCCAGAUCCUGGAUCAUGACAGGAGUUGUGAAGAAGCUUUAGAUGUGCCAGUGUCACCUUUGGAAACCAAAGAGCAAUCUCAAAUCUGUGCUGAAGGUGACUUUAAAGUAUCUGUCAAGCAUAAAAAAAUCAAAAGAAAACACAAGAGACUCGAAUGGGAUGAUGAAUUUGGUCCACCCCAAAAGGAAUCAAAGAAAUGCAACUUGCCUGUUGAUCUUAAUUUAGAAAAUGCCCUUGAUGAUGUUUCAAAAUGUGAAAAGGAGCCUGCUGUUGAAGCUGAAGCUCUCAAUAUAGACUCAAAAAGAACUGCAGAACUGGUGCUGUUUGGCUCAGCUCAACAAGACAAGUGUGCUUUAACUGGCAGCAGAAAAGCCCAUUUCCGUUUUGUAAAGGGUGCAUCUAAGGCAGCACACCUGAGGCCUCCAGAAGUUCUUACUGUCAAUCUCAACCCUUUGAGUAGCAAGUCCAGUGACAUGGUGUACAAGAGGAAUUAUUCAGUAAAACAGCUAAUUCAUGACAAAUGGUGGAGAAGUUUUCAACAGACUAAAGCUAGUCACAAAAAAACCCGUAAACAUCGUUCUUACUCUGUUGCCGGGGGUAUCUUGAUGAAACGAGAUGGAAUUAAGGAAUCCCGGAGUCUGAAGACGCUUGGAGAGGAGAAGAAGGAUAUCACUGCUGAUAAUAAGAGGUGUUCCUCUAAAAGUGAAAGCCAAAAUGUCAAACCUUGCCAGGAGCACAUAGUCUUGAGGUUCAGUGUUCUACCCAGUAACUUUGACCUCAAAGAUGGAUCCAGUGGCAGGAAGCAAUCCACCAAUCCCAUUUCAGAAGAGCCAGAGAAAGAGCAGAGCGCUGCUACAGCUGCUGCAAAACCGAAAGGUAAAUGGAGUUCGAGUCUGCAGAAGAAUCGACCUCGACCUAUUCCCAAGACCUUCAGUCUCUUCCACGAGUAUCAGAAGAAAUACAAGGAGCGCUCUCACUCAAAAGAUUAAUAAUGUGAAAGAUGUCUCUUCUCAGGGAAUACUUUUUUUUUUUUUUUUUUUUCCAUUUAAGACAUUUAGUACAAAGAUUCUGACUAAAAUUAUGCCUUUGUGUUUUUUUCUGCAGUGUAUAUACAAGCAAUACAUUAAGGCUGUGCAACCUUUUGUUGUUUACAUGCCUGUAAAAAGCAUUACAGUCAUGGAGCAGGUGUAGUUACUGACUUGUGGGAUGUGGGAACUUGGCAGCCUUUACAAAUUUGUUCAAGUGAUGACAUUCUGUUCGUCAUUGAUUAUUAUUGUGUCACUGCUCCUUGUCGGUUCACCACUGUACUCGCGACAGACAUGAAAGGAAUACAUGGUAUUUGCUGUCGGUGCAGUUCUGUUUAAUGAGCUGAGAAGCUCUGAAGAUGCAUGACACUGCAUAGUUUGUCUUGUGUCUGUGCAUCAGAGAGUGCAUGCAGACUUUAGAUGGUAAGUCCACAUGUUCAGAGCCAUGUUCAAAUUAACAAGUGAUAUCCAUGAAAGGGGGUGUAAGUCUAAAAUCUUUGUUGUUGUUUUUUUGACAAAAAACUUGACUUGUAACAUUUGCAUUGUGAGUUUUUUACUGUUUUUCUACACUUUCAGUAUUUGUACUCUAACCAUUUUUUAAAAUUUUUUUAUUAUUGUUUCUACGAUUAAAUUAUCCAUUUUUAAUGUGGUUUUGUCUUUGUCUAAACUAAUAGUAGGUAUUAUAAUUGAUUUAUAAGCUGCAAUAGUUGUUUAGCAUUAAAGGGAAAUGGCGUAGUUCCUGGAAAUAAUCUGAAACAAACCCAAAUUACAGGAAGGUGAAAUGCCCAUUAACGGUUUUAUUCUGCUCCUUGCAACGAUCCUCUUUGUUGAUCUUAUUGUAUUGUUUGAUAUCAAAUCAAAAAUGUUUAUGCAUGUUUUUACUUUAUAGCAGUUUUCUGGAAAUUACCCCAUAUGGAAAAGAAAUAGUAAAAACUUAUAUGAUUUACUCAUGAAAGUG
This is a long non-coding RNA of Astatotilapia calliptera (eastern happy), 5694 nucleotides long. NCBI's taxonomy places the organism in Eukaryota, Metazoa, Chordata, Actinopteri, Cichliformes, Cichlidae. The record is from Ensembl.